AGUUACCAGCACGUUAUGGUGGGCACUCUAAGAGACUGCCGGUGACAAACCGGAGGAAGGUGGGGAUGACGUCAAGUCAUCAUGGCCCUUACGGCCUGGGCUACACACGUGCUACAAUGGUCGGUACAAAGGGUUGCCAAGCCGCGAGGUGGAGCAAUCCCAUAAAACCGAUCGUAGUCCGGAUCGCAGUCUGCAACUCGACUGCGUGAAGUCGGAAUCGCUAGUAAUCGUGAAUCAGAAUGUCACGGUGAAUACGUUCCCGGGCCUU
Molecule: ribosomal RNA, 268 nt
Filed under: uncultured Pseudomonas sp.
Lineage: Bacteria; Pseudomonadati; Pseudomonadota; Gammaproteobacteria; Pseudomonadales; Pseudomonadaceae
Description: partial 16S ribosomal RNA
Rfam family: Bacterial small subunit ribosomal RNA
Source: RNAcentral